This 296-nucleotide unclassified non-coding RNA is filed under the name Tubeufiaceae sp. Its description in RNAcentral is "partial contains 5.8S ribosomal RNA, internal transcribed spacer 2, and large subunit ribosomal RNA". The stretch from base 1 to 71 matches the Rfam family "5.8S ribosomal RNA", at positions 84 to 154 of the family's 154-position model. Lineage: Eukaryota; Fungi; Ascomycota; Dothideomycetes; Tubeufiales; Tubeufiaceae. The record is from RNAcentral.
GUGAGUCAUCGAAUCUUUGAACGCACAUUGCGCCCCUUGGUAUUCCGAGGGGCAUGCCUGUUCGAGCGUCAUUUCAACCCUCAAGCUUCUGCUUGGUAUUGGGCUUCGUCCUCCGCACGGGGGACGUGCCUGGAACUCGUAGGCGGUUGUGCUCAGCUCCUUAGCGUAGUCAAUUUUCUCUCGCUCUGGAGGUCUGGGUGCGGCUCGCCUGAUGAACCACCAAUUUUCAUUCUGAAGUUUGACCUCGGAUCAGGUAGGGAUACCCGCUGAACUUAAGCAUAUCAAUAAGCGGAGGA